CACUCCUACGGGAGGCAGCAGUGGGGAAUUUUGGACAAUGGGCGAAAGCCUGAUCCAGCAAUGCCGCGUGUGUGAAGAAGGCCUUCGGGUUGUAAAGCACUUUUGUCCGGAAAGAAAUCCUUGGCUCUAAUACAGUCGGGGGAUGACGGUACCGGAAGAAUAAGCACCGGCUAACUACGUGCCAGCAGCCGCGGUAAUACGUAGGGUGCGAGCGUUAAUCGGAAUUACUGGGCGUAAAGCGUGCGCAGGCGGUUUGCUAAGACCGGUGUGAAAUCCCCGGGCUCAACCUGGGAACUGCAUUGGUGACUGGCAGGCUAGAGUAUGGCAGAGGGGGGUAGAAUUCCACGUGUAGCAGUGAAAUGCGUAGAGAUGUGGAGGAAUACCGAUGGCGAAGGCAGCCCCCUGGGCCAAUACUGACGCUCAUGCACGAAAGCGUGGGGAGCAAACAGGAUUAGAUACCCGUGUAGUCCCA
Molecule: ribosomal RNA, 472 nt
Filed under: uncultured organism
Description: partial 16S ribosomal RNA
Rfam family: Bacterial small subunit ribosomal RNA
Source: RNAcentral